UCCCCUGAUCGUGAACGUCCUCCCGGGCCCCCAGUAAGCUGCUCUGGGGCCCGUGUCUCCUUGAGCCCCGACUCCACCCCCACCGCAGCCAGGCUGGCCACCGAGCGCUGGGCUUGGUGGUCCUGGAGGCCAGGAGACAGGACAGUCACCGUGCAAACCCCCAGCCCUCCGUCUGGAGCCCAGGGCCCGGCUGGGUCAGAGUCACUGAUCCUGUUUUCAGUGGAGGAAACUGAGGCUCAGAGAGUCACCACACGACCUGGCCUGUCACGGGCCGUGACGUCGCCCCGCCAUGGGUUUGAGUCCAGGCCCAUCUGGCCCCAAAGGCUGUCCUUGCACAGGAGCCUGAGGCUCUGAGCCUGGCCUUGGAGGCUGACAUGGAUGCAGGGGGUCCCUCAUAUGCUGGUUGGAGAGCAGCGAGAAGCUGGCGUUGCAGACCCUGAGACCCAGCCCUCAUGUGCCGGAGGCUGCCAAGGGCGUGGGGAGCUGAAGACGAGGGCUGCUGGAGGCCAAGGACCGUGGGGAUGCUGAGGAUGGAACGUCUACUCCUGGCUCCCAAGGAGUGGAGGAUCAGCAGAGCCCAGACCCCGCAGGGCACCCUGUGCCAGCGUUCGGCUCCAGGGGCUUCUAGAAAAUGGGGCGUCUUGGUCCCCUCUGGGUAUGGAGGGAGUGAGGUCGACGGGAUCGGGCCCUGGGUUCACUGCAAUCACGUGCGGCAAGCCACCCCGGA
Long non-coding RNA from Cervus elaphus (red deer), 727 nucleotides. RefSeq lists it as uncharacterized. The transcript has 4 exons. NCBI's taxonomy places the organism in Eukaryota, Metazoa, Chordata, Mammalia, Artiodactyla, Cervidae. The record is from RefSeq and is a predicted model, not a curated record.